Molecule: long non-coding RNA, 1375 nt
Filed under: Strigops habroptila (Kakapo)
Lineage: Eukaryota; Metazoa; Chordata; Aves; Psittaciformes; Psittacidae
Description: lncRNA (ENSSHBG00005000121.1)
Source: RNAcentral
UUUUUUGGUUUCUGCCUUCAGAAUCCUAAAGAACUUUACUGGGUUUGUAUUUCACCAAAUUUGUUUUUCUGCUUUGCUCAUUUUUAGCAGAAUUUCCUUUGAUGCUUUAGUAUUAUCAUGUUUAAUCUAUAUUUAAUUCUAUCUACAAAAUAGGCCAUAUACUUAUUUUCAUUUUCUAAUAAAUUGCUGUAUUAUACUCUAAAACUGUGCUAUUAUAAAAUUAACUGAUUUCCUCUGUCUAUGCAGCUUCAUAAGACAGCAGGACAAAGAAAUUAAGGAACUAAGAAAUACGUGUAUAAAAGCAUAAAAAUUAAUGGGUGAAAUCCAACAAUAAAUGUUACUGAAGAGCUUUACACUUCUAUUUAUUUCUGAAAAUUGAACCAGUUUCAAAUUAAUGCUCUGCCUUUAAAGAAUUAAAACUACAUUGCUUCUGUGGUCAUACACCAGAGCUACAGGUUCACAUUGCUAACAAACCUGUCUACAAUGACUCUAGGAAAUCAUAAAGAAAGGGAAACAACACAGCAAAACCACACAGAAUUAACUCAUGGCAAUCUCAGAAGAAAACUGCUCCAAAGGCCAAUGACUACAUAGAAUUAUCCUGUUGAUUACUUCGUAUCUGGAGAUAGAACCAGAACACGAACACUGCAACAGCUCACAGAACUACUGAAAUCAUCAGUUACACAACCACAGUAAUUGGUUUUCCCAAUUAAAUGUUUACAAUGCCUUCUUCAUCAAUUAACUAAUGUUUUAAAUUGUAAUCUAAGACUAUACACCAUGGAUGCUGUUACAACAUUUCUAAGGACACUGCAGGCUGCAUUACUGGGAGUAACAAGGACAGUUUUCAUUACUAUAUAAAACUUCAGAAAGCAAGAAUUAAGUGUCUGUGCACACUGCAUUAUAUGUUUCAGAUAUUACCAGCUAUCAUAGUCCAAAGAAGAGAAAACGAGAAAGGGAGAAUACAGCUUUUAAUGAAAAAAACUGUUGUGCUAUAUGCAAAAAAACUAUGACCCACGUGACUGAUCAUAGCGUCUUGUCUUCAUGUGAGGCGCUAGCUCCCAUACAGGUCUCACAGCAUAACUGUGAAACCCCUCUGCAAGACAGUGGCUCCCUAACCUUUUCCUAUUGAAAUCCAACACAACAUACUAUACAGAGACAAGAAGCAGCUAUACUACUGCUUCAAGACAGGCAAUAUUCGCAGUUUCAGUCAUGUUUCUGUAAGCACCAAGAGGCACUGACGUAGCAUGCCUGCUGUAAAUUACCUCUGCAGCACUUGCAAAAACAGCAAGAACCACUGCCUAUGAGAGGCAGCUUAUGGCCUAUGCCUUGCAUUUUCAUAAGGCUGCAGCUUAUCCCAAAUACCAGUGAGGACCAGCAA